GUUUACUGAGUGUGUGAGGGAGGAUGUGAGCUAGUUUCUUUUUGAGUGAGGAAAAUGAAUGAAUAUUUUUUUUGUCGUGAGUGAGCUGAGUGAGGGAGAUAUUUGAGAGAUUCUGAGAGAUUUGUAACGUGGGUUUUUGUGUGAUUUUUUAGAUUGGAGAGAGAAUGAGGUGUGUGUGACCGUUGGGAGUGGAGAGAGAUAGUGAGGGACAGGUGGAAGAGAGACAUUAGAGUUUCUAUUAUUUUUUAUUUGUUUUUUUUUUAUUUAAGAAAAGAGAAUCCAAUGCUAACAUUUUUAAUACACUAAUAAUUCACUUAAAUACAUAAAGCAUUAAUAAAAAAA
Molecule: long non-coding RNA, 342 nt
Filed under: Lathyrus oleraceus (garden pea)
Lineage: Eukaryota; Viridiplantae; Streptophyta; Magnoliopsida; Fabales; Fabaceae
Description: Pisum sativum (pea) long non-coding RNA (PSAT_LNC041576)
Source: RNAcentral